Molecule: ribosomal RNA, 464 nt
Filed under: Staphylococcus felis
Lineage: Bacteria; Bacillati; Bacillota; Bacilli; Caryophanales; Staphylococcaceae
Description: bacterial SSU rRNA
Rfam family: Bacterial small subunit ribosomal RNA
Source: RNAcentral
CAUGCAAGUCGAGCGAACUGAAGAGGAGCUUGCUCCUUUGACGUUAGCGGCGGACGGGUGAGUAACACGUGGGUAACCUACCUAUAAGACUGGAAUAACUCCGGGAAACCGGGGCUAAUGCCGGAUAAUAUGUUGAACCGCAUGGUUCAACAGUGAAAGACGGUUUUGCUGUCACUUAUAGAUGGACCCGCGCCGCAUUAGCUAGUUGGUGAGGUAACGGCUCACCAAGGCGACGAUGCGUAGCCGACCUGAGAGGGUGAUCGGCCACACUGGAACUGAGACACGGUCCAGACUCCUACGGGAGGCAGCAGUAGGGAAUCUUCCGCAAUGGACGAAAGUCUGACGGAGCAACGCCGCGUGAGUGAUGAAGGUCUUCGGAUCGUAAAGCUCUGUUGUUAGGGAAGAACAAAUGUGUAAGUAACUGUGCACAUCUUGACGGUACCUAACCAGAAAGCCACGGCUAA